RNAcentral lists this ribosomal RNA (497 nucleotides) under uncultured bacterium. Its description in RNAcentral is "partial 16S ribosomal RNA". It matches the Rfam family "Bacterial small subunit ribosomal RNA", at positions 28 to 507 of the family's 1533-position model. The record is from RNAcentral.
GAUGAACGCUGGCGGCGUGCCUAAUACAUGCAAGUCGAGCGAACGGACGAGAAGCUUGCUUCUCUGAUGUUAGCGGCGGACGGGUGAGUAACACGUGGAUAACCUACCUAUAAGACUGGGAUAACUUCGGGAAACCGGAGCUAAUACCGGAUGAUAUUUUGAACCGCAUGGUUCAAAAGUGAAAGACGGUCUUGCUGUCACUUAUAGAUGGAUCCGCGCUGCAUUAGCUAGUUGGUAAGGUAACGGCUUACCAAGGCAACGAUGCAUAGCCGACCUGAGAGGGUGAUCGGCCACACUGGAACUGAGACACGGUCCAGACUCCUACGGGAGGCAGCAGUAGGGAAUCUUCCGCAAUGGGCGAAAGCCUGACGGAGCAACGCCGCGUGAGUGAUGAAGGUCUUCGGAUCGUAAAACUCUGUUAUUAGGGAAGAACAGAGGUGUAAGUAACUGUGCACGUCUUGACGGUACCUAAUCAGAAAGCCACGGCUAACUACGUG